Molecule: ribosomal RNA, 904 nt
Filed under: uncultured Candidatus Poseidoniales archaeon
Lineage: Archaea; Methanobacteriati; Thermoplasmatota; Candidatus Poseidoniia; Candidatus Poseidoniales
Description: bacterial SSU rRNA
Rfam family: Archaeal small subunit ribosomal RNA
Source: RNAcentral
UUCCGGUUGAUCCUGCCAGAGGCGACCGCUUUUGGAGUUCGAUUAAGCCAUGCGAGUCGAGAGUCUUAGGGACUCGGCAUACUGCUCAGUAACACGUGGAUAACCUGCCCUAUCGUCUGGAAUAACCUCGGGAAACUGAGAAUAAGGCCGGAUAGUUCACAAUGCCUGGAACGGUUUGUGGAUAAAGGUAGGAUGGGUCUGCGGCGUAUCAGGUUGUAGGGGGUGUAACGGACCCCCUAGCCAUCGACGCGUACGGGUGUUGGGAGACAUAGCCCGGAGAUGGAUUCUGAGACACGAAUCCAGACCCUACGGGGUGCAGCAGGCGCGAAAACUUCACACUGCAGGAAACUGUGAUGAGGGAACUCCAAGUGUGUGCAUUUUAUGUACACUUUUCUGAACUCUUAAUCGGUUCAGGAAUAAGGGCUGGGAAAGACCGGUGCCAGCCGCCGCGGUAAUACCGGCAGCUCAAGUGGUCGUCGCUUUUAUUGGGCCUAAAACGUCCGUAGCCUGUUUGGUAAAUCUGUGGGUAAAUCAACCAGCUUAACUGGUUGAAUUCUGCAGAGACUGCCAGACUAGGGACCGGGAGAGGUGUGGGGUACUCGAGGGGUAGGGGUAAAAUCCUGUCAUCCUUCGAGGACCACCAGUUGCGAAGGCGCCACACUGGAACGGAUCCGACGGUCAGGGACGAAGCCUAGGGGCACGAACCGGAUUAGAUACCCGGGUAGUCCUAGGUGUAAACGCUGUGAACUUGGUGUCGGGGGUCCGCAAGGGGUCCCCGGUGCCGGAGUGAAGAUGUUAAGUUCACUGCCUGGGGAGUACGGUCGCAAGGCUGAAACUUAAAGGAAUUGGCGGGGGAGCACUGCAACGGGAGGAGCGUGCGGUUUAAUUGGACUCAACGCCGGGA